UACGUAGGCAGCGAGCGUUGUUCGGAGUUACUGGGCGUAAAGGGUGUGUAGGCGGUUGUUUAAGUUUGGCGUGAAAUCUCCCGGCUCAACUGGGAGGGUGCGCCGAAUACUGAGCGACUAGAGUGCGGGAGAGGAAAGUGGAAUUCCUGGUGUAGCGGUGAAAUGCGUAGAUAUCAGGAGGAACACCGGUGGUGUAGACGGCUUUCUGGACCGUAACUGACGCUGAGACACGAAAGCGUGGGUAGCAAACAGG
Molecule: ribosomal RNA, 253 nt
Filed under: uncultured bacterium
Lineage: Bacteria
Description: partial 16S ribosomal RNA
Rfam family: Bacterial small subunit ribosomal RNA
Source: RNAcentral